RNAcentral lists this unclassified non-coding RNA (450 nucleotides) under Hevea brasiliensis (rubber tree). The record is from RNAcentral. Lineage: Eukaryota; Viridiplantae; Streptophyta; Magnoliopsida; Malpighiales; Euphorbiaceae.
GGGUUCAUCACUCUCUCCUUCACAUACAAACUUUCCAUCUUUACCAAAAUAAUAGCAACCCUUGUACCCUGUGCAACAUGUGGUACAUCCGGUGGGAUAAAUUAACGAUUUUCCUUGUGAACGGGGACAUCUUGAAUAGGCAAUAUUUGGAUCACAAUUAAAGGUGCAAGCAUUUGGCCUUUUUGGAUCAGAUUCUCCUUCACAAAUAAAUUUUCCGAAAGAAUUAUAAUAAUUACAACCCUUAUAGCCUGAGCAACAAUUGAUGCAUAUGGGAUUUAGCGGACUUCCUUCUGAACGUGGGCAUAUCCCGAACCCAAGAUUACCACAUUCUCUAGUACAAGCCUUGGCAUCAACAUAUAGAAACAUUCCAAGAACAAUUAGUAGGUAAGCGACAAAAUUAACUUCCUUGUGAACAGCCAUGAUGGAUAAUUGAUUACUAGUACCUUGUCU